GUGGGGAAUAUUGCACAAUGGAGGGAACUCUGAUGCAGCGAUGCCGCGUGGAGGAAGAAGGUUUUCGGAUUGUAAACUCCUUUUAUCAGGGACGAUAAUGACGGUACCUGAAGAAAAAGCUCCGGCUAACUACGUGCCAGCAGCCGCGGUAAUACGUAGGGAGCGAGCGUUGUCCGGAAUUACUGGGUGUAAAGGGAGCGUAGGCGGGAUAGCAAGUCAGAUGUGAAAACUAUGGGCUCAACCUGUAGAUUGCAUUUGAAACUGUUGUUCUUGAGUGAAGUAGAGGUAAGCGGAAUUCCUAGUGUAGCGGUGAAAUGCGUAGAUAUUAGGAGGAACAUCGGUGGCGAAGGCGGCUUACUGGGCUUUUACUGACGCUGAGGCUCGAAAGCGUGGGGAGCAAACAGGAUUAGAAACCCUAGUAGUCC
This 425-nucleotide ribosomal RNA is filed under the name uncultured bacterium. RNAcentral's name for it is "bacterial SSU rRNA". It matches the Rfam family "Bacterial small subunit ribosomal RNA", at positions 354 to 796 of the family's 1533-position model. The record is from RNAcentral.